Varroa destructor (honeybee mite) is the source of this 530-nucleotide long non-coding RNA. RefSeq lists it as uncharacterized. Lineage: Eukaryota; Metazoa; Arthropoda; Arachnida; Mesostigmata; Varroidae. The record is from RefSeq and is a predicted model, not a curated record.
GCCGGUUAUUUUCCAGACGGGUUUCUGCCGAUUUCUGUUUUAACUGUUGCUGUACAUUUUUUUCCGACGAAUCAUUCGACCGUGUCUGGAUCACCAUAUUUACAGACUCCGCCAGUGACGCGUGAAUUGACGUUUUAUCCUUCAACAGGACACGUUCUGAUCUAAGUUCGAAUAGACAGACUUCACUUCGCGCUGGAAGCCAGCCGUCUGAUGGAGCGCUUAGCGGCAAUAGCAGACAUAAAACCCGAAAUAUAGAGAUCAAGCUGGACUAGACAUAGCCGUCUCCCAUAUAACGGUAGCGGAAUUAGAGUAGCAAGAUAACAGCGCAAUUGCAGUUUUACCCCAACACAUACUUCUGGAUUUAUAUCAACUAAUUCCCUAGAUCAAACGGAAAACGACCUCAUUGAGAAAAACCUCAGGCGACUAGAGAGGAUAACAGCCUUUAUCUAAUAGAAACAUAGAAAUAGACAAACUUAUCUUUAUACAGUAGCGGAUUCGAUGUAAUUUUUGUAAGAAAUAUUAUUGUUAGA